RNAcentral lists this ribosomal RNA (501 nucleotides) under uncultured bacterium. Its description in RNAcentral is "bacterial SSU rRNA". It matches the Rfam family "Bacterial small subunit ribosomal RNA", at positions 28 to 529 of the family's 1533-position model. The record is from RNAcentral.
GACGAACGCUGGCGGCGUGCCUAACACAUGCAAGUCGAGCGGAGAAACAAAAGAGCAGCUUGCUGCGAUUUGUUUCUUAGCGGCGGACGGGUGAGUAACGCGUGGGUAAUCUGCCUCAAACAGGGGGAUAACACAGGGAAACUUGUGCUAAUACCGCAUAAGACCCCACCAUGGCAUCAUGGAGAGGUCAAAGGAAGAAAUUCCGGUUUGAGAUGAGCCCGCGUCUGAUUAGCUAGUUGGUGAGGUAACGGCUCACCAAGGCGACGAUCAGUAGCCGAACUGAGAGGUUGAUCGGCCACAUUGGGACUGAGACACGGCCCAGACUCCUACGGGAGGCAGCAGUGGGGAAUAUUGCACAAUGGGGGAAACCCUGAUGCAGCGACGCCGCGUGAAGGAAGAAGGCCCUCGGGUUGUAAAAUUUCUUUGACCAGGGACGAAGAAAGUGACGGUACCUGGAGAACAAGCCACGGCUAACUACGUGCCAGCCCGCCGGAGUACACU